CAAGACGCCCGGGCUUCGGCCUGGUUAUUCAUAACCCUUUGUUGUCCGACUCUGUUGCCUCCGGGGCGACCCUGCCCUUCGGGCGGGGGCUCCGGGUGGACACUUCAAACUCUUGCGUAACUUUGCAGUCUGAGUAAACUUAAUUAAUAAAUUAAAACUUUUAACAACGGAUCUCUUGGUUCUGGCAUCGAUGAAGAACGCAGCGAAAUGCGAUAAGUAAUGUGAAUUGCAGAAUUCAGUGAAUCAUCGAAUCUUUGAACGCACAUUGCGCCCCCUGGUAUUCCGGGGGGGCAUGCCUGUUCGAGCGUCAUUUCACCACUCAAGCCUCGCUUGGUAUUGGGCAACGCGGUCCGCCGCGUGCCUCAAAUCGUCCGGCUGGGUCUUCUGUCCCCUAAGCGUUGUGGAAACUAUUCGCUAAAGGGUGUUCGGGAGGCUACGCCGUAAACACCCAUUUCUAAGGUUG
RNAcentral lists this ribosomal RNA (463 nucleotides) under Cladosporium herbarum. RNAcentral's name for it is "eukaryotic LSU rRNA". The stretch from base 156 to 310 matches the Rfam family "5.8S ribosomal RNA". The record is from RNAcentral. Lineage: Eukaryota; Fungi; Ascomycota; Dothideomycetes; Cladosporiales; Cladosporiaceae.